This 522-nucleotide long non-coding RNA is filed under the name Homo sapiens (human). RNAcentral's name for it is "non-protein coding lnc-NLGN4X-3:1". The record is from RNAcentral. Lineage: Eukaryota; Metazoa; Chordata; Mammalia; Primates; Hominidae.
AUGACAUAUGCUUUAUUCUUGUUAAGUAGUCUUUUGGUUAUGAGAUUUGUAGGUUUUUCUUCUAAACCUUCUUCUAUUUAUGGGUGGUUAGGGUUAAUUAUUAGUGGUCCUGCAGGUUGCAUUAUUGUGUUCAAUUAUGGUAGGGCUUUUAUAGGCCUAAUAGUCUUUUUGAUUUAUUUGGGAGAGAUGAUGGUUGUUUUUUGUCAUACUAUGGCGAUUGCUAUUGAGGAGUACCCAGAGGCGUGAGGAUCAGGUAUUGAGGUUUUAGGGAGUUUCUUAUUGGGUUUAGUAAUAGAGUUGAUGCUAAUUUGGUGAACAGCUGAGUAUGAUGGAUUGCUGGUCAUAGUUAAUUUUAAUAACAUGGGAAGUUGAGUGAUUUUUGAUGGUGAGGGGUCAGGGUUGAUUCGUGAGGAUUCUAUAGGUGCGGGUGCUUUAUAUGAUUAUGGAUGUUGACUAGUGGUAGUUGCUGGUUGAACAUUAUUUGUUGGUGUUUAUGUUGUGAUUGAAAUUACUCGGGGUAAU